This 164-nucleotide ribosomal RNA is filed under the name uncultured bacterium. Its description in RNAcentral is "partial 16S rRNA". It matches the Rfam family "Bacterial small subunit ribosomal RNA", at positions 355 to 511 of the family's 1533-position model. The record is from RNAcentral.
UAGGGAAUCUUCCACAAUGGGCGCAAGCCUGAUGGAGCAACGCCGCGUGAGUGAAGAAGGUCUUCGGAUCGUAAAACUCUGUUGUUGGUGAAGAAGGAUAGAGGCAGUAACUGGUCUUUAUUUGACGGUAAUCAACCAGAAAGUCACGGCUAACUACGUGUCAG